CGCCGGUGGCUCUUUGGCCCUGGUGGGGAGCUUCCCGGAAACGAAAGUCUUCCGGUUCCGGGGGAAGUAUGGUUGCAAAGCUGAAACUUAAAGGAAUUGACGGAAGGGCACCACCAGGAGUGGAGCCUGCGGCUUAAUUUGACUCAACACGGGAAAACUCACCCGGCCCGGACACCGUGAGGAUUGACAGAUUGAUAGCUUUUUCAUGAUUCGGUGGUUGGUGGUGCAUGGCCGUUCUUAGUUCGUGGAUCGAUUUGUCUGGUUUAUUCCGAUAACGAGCGAGACUCCAGCCUACUAACUAGUGCGGGCAUUGCCUCUGUGCUUUGCACUUCUUAAAGGGAUUGGCUGCUCUAGCGGCACGAAACGGAGCAAUAACAGGUCUGUGAUGCCCUUAGAUGUCCGGGGCUGCACCCGCGCUACACUGGCAAAAGCAGCGUGCUUGUCCGCCUCCGAAAGGACCGGUAAACCCUUGAAAAUUUGCCGUGAUUGGGAUCGGAAAUUGCAAUUAUUUUCCGUGAACGAAG
This 524-nucleotide ribosomal RNA is filed under the name Hemicriconemoides chitwoodi. RNAcentral's name for it is "SSU rRNA". It matches the Rfam family "Eukaryotic small subunit ribosomal RNA", at positions 1055 to 1608 of the family's 1831-position model. The record is from RNAcentral. Lineage: Eukaryota; Metazoa; Nematoda; Chromadorea; Rhabditida; Criconematidae.